CCUUGAAGUUCAGCCUCCUGGCCUCAAGUAAGGCAGAGGAAGAGAAUACAUAGAUCUGUGGAGAAGAGUGGUGAUGGUGGGAGCUGCCAAUAAAGAACUAUCAAAAAAGGGAAGAUUGCAGAUCACACUGCGCUUUGGGAGUCAAGUGGCAGACAGCUGUGGCUUCAGCUUCCAGCGGUCACACAACUCCAGAGGGACUGGAAGGUCAAGGGAAGCAUGUAGAACCGCAGGCUGUUCACGUGGCUUGGAGGAGGAGAUGACCCACCCUUAAUAAAACACCGUCUGCCGGACAUGCCAUUGGGACUGGCAUGCUAAUUGAAAACAGCAGGAGUGGCUCUGCAGCUCUUUGACUUUAGCACUCAGCUUAGCAUAACUUUUCCUUCCACAGGAAAGCAGUCCUCGGCCAGUAAAGCUGUGUUUCUUAAAAAAAGAAAAAAAUC
Molecule: long non-coding RNA, 440 nt
Filed under: Pan troglodytes (chimpanzee)
Lineage: Eukaryota; Metazoa; Chordata; Mammalia; Primates; Hominidae
Description: long non-coding RNA NONPTRT014801
Source: RNAcentral